Molecule: ribosomal RNA, 1494 nt
Filed under: Staphylococcus aureus
Lineage: Bacteria; Bacillati; Bacillota; Bacilli; Caryophanales; Staphylococcaceae
Also listed under: 1 other name
Description: bacterial SSU rRNA
Rfam family: Bacterial small subunit ribosomal RNA
Source: RNAcentral
AAGGGGGGGGGGGGCUAUACCUGCAGUCGAGCGAACAGAUAAGGAGCUUGCUCCUUUGAAGUUAGCGGCGGACGGGUGAGUAACACGUGGGUAACCUACCUAUAAGACUGGGAUAACUUCGGGAAACCGGAGCUAAUACCGGAUAACAUUUAGAACCGCAUGGUUCUAAAGUGAAAGAUGGUUUUGCUAUCACUUAUAGAUGGACCCGCGCCGUAUUAGCUAGUUGGUAAGGUAACGGCUUACCAAGGCGACGAUACGUAGCCGACCUGAGAGGGUGAUCGGCCACACUGGAACUGAGACACGGUCCAGACUCCUACGGGAGGCAGCAGUAGGGAAUCUUCCGCAAUGGGCGAAAGCCUGACGGAGCAACGCCGCGUGAGUGAUGAAGGGUUUCGGCUCGUAAAACUCUGUUAUUAGGGAAGAACAAAUGUGUAAGUAACUGUGCACAUCUUGACGGUACCUAAUCAGAAAGCCACGGCUAACUACGUGCCAGCAGCCGCGGUAAUACGUAGGUGGCAAGCGUUAUCCGGAAUUAUUGGGCGUAAAGCGCGCGUAGGCGGUUUCUUAAGUCUGAUGUGAAAGCCCACGGCUCAACCGUGGAGGGUCAUUGGAAACUGGGAAACUUGAGUGCAGAAGAGGAAAGUGGAAUUCCAUGUGUAGCGGUGAAAUGCGCAGAGAUAUGGAGGAACACCAGUGGCGAAGGCGACUUUCUGGUCUGUAACUGACGCUGAUGUGCGAAAGCGUGGGGAUCAAACAGGAUUAGAUACCCUGGUAGUCCACGCCGUAAACGAUGAGUGCUAAGUGUUAGGGGGUUUCCGCCCCUUAGUGCUGCAGCUAACGCAUUAAGCACUCCGCCUGGGGAGUACGACCGCAAGGUUGAAACUCAAAGGAAUUGACGGGGACCCGCACAAGCGGUGGAGCAUGUGGUUUAAUUCGAAGCAACGCGAAGAACCUUACCAAAUCUUGACAUCCUUUGAAAACUCUAGAGAUAGAGCUUUCCCCUUCGGGGGACAAAGUGACAGGUGGUGCAUGGUUGUCGUCAGCUCGUGUCGUGAAAUGUUGGGUUAAGUCCCGCAACGAACGCAACCCUUAAGCUUAGUUGCCAUCAUUAAGUUGGGCACUCUAAGUUGACUGCCGGUGACAAACCGGAAGAAAGGUGGGGAUGACGUCAAAUCAUCAUGCCCCUUAUGAUUUGGGCUACACACGUGCUACAAUGGACAAUACAAAGGGCAGCUAAACCGGGAGGCAUGCAAAUCCCUUAAAGUUGUCCUCAUUCCGGAUUGAACCUCGAACUCCAAUACUUGAACUGGGAUCCCUAAAAAUCCGAAUAACAAGCUACGGGGAAAAACUUUCCCGGUUUGGUACACCGCCCGGUACCCACCAGAAUUUUAACACCCAACCCGGGGGAAACAUUAUUGGCUUACCCCGCAAUGGCCAAAUAUGGUUGGUUUGAAUUAAAAGGAAAGCCCAACAACGAAGGGAAAGGGGGGGGGG